Molecule: long non-coding RNA, 1001 nt
Filed under: Setaria viridis
Lineage: Eukaryota; Viridiplantae; Streptophyta; Magnoliopsida; Poales; Poaceae
Description: long non-coding RNA (SVIR_LNC003688)
Source: RNAcentral
UGGCCUAUAGAUUGUUAUCGCCCAUAGAAAAAUAUAUACAGUCGAUGUAUUGUUCAUCAUUGUCCUUAGGUAAUUUUGGUCUAGAGGAGUAUUUUCUAGCACGCAUGCUUUGCUAAAAAAAUAGGAGGGCAUGUGUUGACGAUUAAAAUUGGCAGAUCUGGUCGGACAGGUGUGUAAACCGGUUAGCUCUUGAUGAGAAGAUUAAAAUGCAUAUGUAGAACAUGCGAUUCAGAGAUCAGAUGAUGGAGUUAUGACUUCGGGAAGAUCUGCACCUCAGAAAACCGGUCAAAUUGAUUUGUUAGGAUGGUGAGACCAGUUUGAUUAGGAGUUGUAUUUUAACACGGAACUUGUAAAGGUUAUCCAAUUGAUCAUAUCAAACCAAACUCCUAGUUUGCCUUUUACCUUUUCCUCUUUGCCUUAUCUUUUCCAACCCUAUCUUGUUGUUCUUCCUAUGUGUCAACAGUGAUUGAGAAUGUUCUAGGUGACUUGAACCCUAGAAUAACCCAAGGUACGUUUGCACUGGUGGGAUCCCUCCCGGACGAGUAUUCGCUAGUCCCUCGUCGGGCUCACCAGCGAAACUCGCCUCCAAACUAGUCUAAUCGGUUUGUGCGGAGGCGCUGCACUAGACGUUUGAGUGCUUGAGUAUUUGGCGUAACUCCUUGCGUCAACACAUUAUCUACUGCUAUAUUUAAAUGUUGUUUACCACAACAUACACUGGUGACUUUGAAGAUCUUUUCUUUUAACUUCCAAUUUAUUGUCCUCGAAAUACAACCCUUGAAACCAUGUAACAUACAUGCACGUUUUUGUUAUAUUUAUAUGGAUUAAUAAUUACUAUCACAUAUGUUUAUAAAUCAUUGCCUUGUUAGUAUAAAUUCGAGCUCAAUUGCCUUCUAGCCUUGUGUGACAUACAAGCAUGCAUCACUAUUUUAUAUGUGCCUUCGUUUGGGUCGUAGCUGACGAUUUCCUUAUCCCCCCAUGUUCCCUGAACUAGUCCAUCAACC